AUUGAACGCUGGCGGCAGGCCUAACACAUGCAAGUCGAACGAGUGGCAGACGGGUGUGUAAUGUCUGGGAAACUGCGUGAUGGAGGGGGAAAACUACUGGAAACGGUAGCUAAUACCGCAUACCAUCGGAUGUGCCCAGAUGGGAUUAGCUAGUAGGUGGGGUAAAGGCUCCUCUAGGCGACGAUCCCUAGCUGGUCUGAGAGGAGGACCAGCCAAACUGGAACGGAGACACGGUCCAGACUCCGACGGGAGGCAGCAGUGGGGAAUAUUGCACAAUGGGCGCAAGCCUGAUGCAGCCAUGCCGCGUGUAUGAAGAAGGCCUUCGGGUUGUAAAGUACUGUCAGCGGGGAGGCGUUACCCGCAGAAGAAGCACCGGCUAACUCCGUGCCAGCAGCCGCGGUAAUUC
This 406-nucleotide ribosomal RNA is filed under the name uncultured bacterium. Its description in RNAcentral is "partial 16S ribosomal RNA". It matches the Rfam family "Bacterial small subunit ribosomal RNA", at positions 30 to 526 of the family's 1533-position model. The record is from RNAcentral.